UACGAAGGGGGCUAGCGUUGCUCGGAAUCACUGGGCGUAAAGGGCGCGUAGGCGGAUCUUUAAGUCGGGGGUGAAAGCCUGAGGCUCAACCUCAGAAUUGCCCUUCGAUACUGGAGUAUCUUGAGACCGGAAGAGGUAAGUGGAACUGCGAGUGUAGAGGUGAAAUUCGUAGAUAUUCGCAAGAACACCAGUGGCGAAGGCGGCUUACUGGUCCGGUUCUGACGCUGAGGCGCGAAGCGUGGGAGCAACAGG
This 252-nucleotide ribosomal RNA is filed under the name uncultured bacterium. Its description in RNAcentral is "partial 16S ribosomal RNA". It matches the Rfam family "Bacterial small subunit ribosomal RNA", at positions 524 to 776 of the family's 1533-position model. The record is from RNAcentral.